AUAAAGUUAUCUAGAACUUGUGUUGCCGCCUUUAUUCAGACUUGGUAAAUAUACUAGUCAACAAAAGAAACGAUACAAGACUUUUUUUUUAUCAAUAUAAAGAUAAAGUUUUCCGUUCAUUGGAACAAUAUUGAAGGAAGUAAUACUUAAAAUCAUUAUGGAAAUAUAAAUCCGUUAAAAAAAAUCUUUUUUUGCUUUUGUGACGUUUUUUUCGCGAAUUUGUUUUUUUUACAAAAUUUACAUAAAACGACAAUUUUAAAAACAGAAGUUCCAACUAAUGAUGCCAACCUCUCAUUUAAAGGUAAAGACAGUGUUUGCCAUCAAUUUGUUUUUAAAAAUCAUCCGGUUUCUUCGUUUAUUUGUUAAGCAAAGUUCGGCCCCACGAGAAAUCGUUAAAAUGUAUACAGUACCAACUGAUUUACCAUAGAUAGUAUGUGUAGAGCGAUAUUCAAAAAGCGGUAAGAAUCUUAAAACUAAUCCGAAAGGUUCGAAAUUUACUGUGUGUUGUUUUCAUAUCUAAAGCAUUGAUUUGAGACGAAAAUAUUUUUUUUUGUUUGCAUUUUUUGAGAUUUCAAAAAACCCUUUUUUCCCAAAAAUUUGAAAAAAAACAAUUUUUCAACCCAUUAUUUACAACAUGAACAUAACUUGAUUGCUAUAUUGAAUGUUUUCAAACAAAUUUGAAAUUUUAAUUAGUACUGAGAAAAUUAUGUGUCGAUUUUUUAUUCAACUUAUAUAAAACUGAUUUGCACCCUAUGAUCGUUUACACGGAAUUUAGAUACUUUCCGACAAGUUUUGAUUUUCAUUAUCACAUGUGCAUACAUUGCAAAUGAAAGCUUUUUAAAAUAGUGUAUCUCAUUUUGUUUUAUAUUUAAGACUUUUUGAUAAAUUCUAUUUCAAAGUCGUGUAUCGUUUCUUUUGUUGACUAGUAUAUAAAGCCUCGUCAAUUUUUUAAGCACACAAUCAUGGCGUAUGUUCAGAUUUGGGGGAAAAGGGGGGGGGUUGAAUUCAAUUCAUCACAAGAACCCAUAUACAUUAAUGAUUGAAAAGCACACUCUACAGUGUAUAUUGUUCUACACGUUAUUUAUCAUUCUUUGUGUUAAAGGCAUCGUGUCAUAGUAUUUCAACUGUCAUAACCUUAAAGAAUUACAAGCGAAACAAUGCCUUUUGGCAUUGUUUAUCGGGUGUGGAUGUAGUGUUUUGCUGUUAACGCAGCUCUCGUAGUACUUUACCAUUAAUCUCAUUUUUAUGUGAACCUUUAUUGACACAUAUGUGUCUAAUAAGAGUUGGAGUAAGAAUGCUGCGGUCGUAGUUCGAAGAACUUAUAGAUGUUUGCAUAUCCGCCUUAACACUGCUAGAGAUUAGCAAGAAAGAAAUCUGUUUUUCUAAAAUUAAGUGAAAUCAUCAGGCGAUAAUGUAGAUGAGAAGAAAAGUAAAAGGAAUUACAGAUAAACUUGGUGUGACCGUUAAAGAGGGAAACUUGAUUCGGAGUGAUGAUGGUGAUACAAAAUUGUUAAAAUUUAAUGAAGCUAACAAAGUUGCAUUUGAGAUAAUGUUUAACAUAAAAUCUUGUUAAUAAUUAUUAUUUUUAAUACGAACCAUACUGAACCUAUCUUCUUGAGUAACAAUAAAGGGUUAAGAACUAUUGAACAGCCUUAAGUUGAACAUCAUGGAAUACAGUAAAUAUCUUAUCAUGAAAUUGUCUAAUUUUACACCAAAUAAAGACUUAUAUCAUGUAAUCCUAUUAAACGUAAUUGUGAUACUAAACAUCUUUUACAGAAAACGUUUGACAAAAUUGGAUAAAAUUAAAAGUGCUGUUUUAAAAGACUGACGAAACAAGACGUGUUUAACAAAGAGGAACAGCGCUACAACCUUGUCAGAUUUCAUAUGAACGUCGAGCACUUUUACACAAUCAACUCUUCGAUCAUCUGACAAAAGUGAAUCAACGUCAUGAAAAGACUUUAUAGUAAAAACAACAUCAGAAUCUAGUAACAUUUAAGUUAGUACUUUGGAAUGAUAAACCUACAUUAUCAUUCAGUAAAUGUAGUUAUAGAAAUUGAAAACUUCUGGUAUAAACUGAAAAAAGAAUUAAAAAGUUUAAAUAUGUUUAAAAGGAAACAAAACAGAAAAAAAGGAAAGUAAAGUAAAAAAAAGAAGAAAAAAGAUUUAAAAAAGCAAAGAAAAUAAAAGAAGGAAAAAAGAAAAAGAAGGAGAGAGAGAAUAAAGAGAAAAGAACGGCUUAAAUAUGGAUAUUCGGGAUGGAGGUGGGUAAUGCAGCCAAUAUUAACUUGCCAGUCACCAUCCUGGAUGAAUGCAGAGUAACCAUCUUAGAAGGAAAAGCCAGAAUUUUAAACACUAUCAAAAAAUGUCUUUCACUCCUUUAUCAAGGUUAUCAAUUCACAAUUCUAUUGCAACAACGUUUGUAACGUUCAUUUUGAUUGGAUAACUAACUUAUUUACAUGGCAUCAAUUGAUAAUUGAUGCUGUGGGACGGCACAUUACAGAUUUUGAAAACAUGUUUUAACGUUGUUUUCUGUCAGUUUCAUUUAAAUGGAGAUAACAAUAAUGUAUUUUAAGCUACUACGGC
RNAcentral lists this long non-coding RNA (2583 nucleotides) under Mytilus galloprovincialis (Mediterranean mussel). Lineage: Eukaryota; Metazoa; Mollusca; Bivalvia; Mytilida; Mytilidae. The record is from RNAcentral.